UACGUAGGGAGCAAGCGUUGUCCGGAAUUAUUGGGCCUAAAGCAUCCGUAGCCGGUUCUACAAGUCUUCCGUUAAAUCCACCUGCUUAACAGAUGGGCUGCGGAAGAUACUAUGGAGCUAGGAGGCGGGAGAGGCAAGCGGUACUCGAUGGGUAGGGGUAAAAUCCGUUGAUCCAUUGAAGACCACCAGUGGCGAAGGCGGCUUGCCAGAACGCGCUCGACGGUGAGGGAUGAAAGCUGGGGGAGCAAACCGG
RNAcentral lists this ribosomal RNA (253 nucleotides) under uncultured bacterium. RNAcentral's name for it is "partial 16S ribosomal RNA". It matches the Rfam family "Bacterial small subunit ribosomal RNA", at positions 524 to 776 of the family's 1533-position model. The record is from RNAcentral.